Molecule: ribosomal RNA, 253 nt
Filed under: uncultured bacterium
Lineage: Bacteria
Description: partial 16S ribosomal RNA
Rfam family: Bacterial small subunit ribosomal RNA
Source: RNAcentral
UACGCAGGGCGCAAGCGUUAUCCGGAAUUAUUGGGCGUAAAGAGCUCGUAGGCGGUUUGUCGCGUCUGCCGUGAAAGUCCGGGGCUCAACCCCGGAUCUGCGGUGGGUACGGGCAGACUAGAGUGAUGUAGGGGAGACUGGAAUUCCUGGUGUAGCGGUGAAAUGCGCAGAUAUCAGGAGGAACACCGAUGGCGAAGGCAGGUCUCUGGGCAUUAACUGACGCUGAGGAGCGAAAGCAUGGGGAGCGAACAGG